GAACAAUAACAAGUUGUGUUUUGUGUUUGUUCCUUUCUUUAUGCUUGGAUUUCUAGAAGUUACGCAGAAAUGUCCGCUUUACACAGGUCCGUGUUCGGAGAAAACCUUGAGUAGUUACCGAAAAGCAAAAAGUUUGAAUCUCUUGAAAGUAUGCUGGUUAAUUUUAUUUCCGAAACUGCCAUUAAGUUUCAUCUGAUUUGGACCGUACAGAGAUGGAUCAGUACGAAAAACAACCAUUUUCUUCACUUUUUCAUCUAGUUGAAGUCUGAAGAGAGUGCCAAAAUUUUUUUAACGUAAUGUUGAAGCCAUCUGCUGUAUUAGUUAACUACUUACUGCGGAGUUUUGUAUCUCUAGCUGGGCUGGUCGUAAUGCAGAGUGGUUGUUGAAUAAACUAUUGACUUGAAAUGUAAAA
Molecule: long non-coding RNA, 412 nt
Organism: Daphnia carinata
Lineage: Eukaryota; Metazoa; Arthropoda; Branchiopoda; Diplostraca; Daphniidae
Exons: 2
Source: RefSeq, a predicted model, not a curated record